This 493-nucleotide ribosomal RNA is filed under the name uncultured bacterium. Its description in RNAcentral is "partial 16S ribosomal RNA". It matches the Rfam family "Bacterial small subunit ribosomal RNA", at positions 29 to 523 of the family's 1533-position model. The record is from RNAcentral.
AUUGAACGCUGGCGGCAUGCCUUACACAUGCAAGUCGAACGGUAACAGGUUAAGCUGACGAGUGGCGAACGGGUGAGUAAUGCAUCGGAACGUGCCCGGUCGUGGGGGAUAACGCAGCGAAAGCUGCGCUAAUACCGCAUACGGUCUGAGGAUGAAAGCGGGGGACCGUAAGGCCUCGCGCGAUCGGAGCGGCCGAUGUCAGAUUAGGUAGUUGGUGGGGUAAAGGCUCACCAAGCCAACGAUCUGUAGCUGGUCUGAGAGGACGACCAGCCACACUGGGACUGAGACACGGCCCAGACUCCUACGGGAGGCAGCAGUGGGGAAUUUUGGACAAUGGGCGAAAGCCUGAUUCAGCAAUGCCGCGUGCAGGAAGAAGGCCUUCGGGUUGUAAACUGCUUUUGUACGGAGCGAAAAGGUCUCCUCUAAUACAGGGGGCUCAUGACGGUACCGUAAGAAUAAGCACCGGCUAACUACGUGCCAGCCGCCGCAGUAA